GACGAACGCUGGCGGCGUGCCUAACACAUGCAAGUCGAGCGGGGUCCAUCCAGUGGCAACACUGGGGAAGACCUAGCGGCGAACGGGUGAGUAACACGUGAGGAACCUGCCCCGAAGACCGGGAUAACCCGAGGAAACUCAAGCUAAUACCGGAUACCCCCACGAGAUCGCAUGGUCUUGUGAGGAAAUGUCUUUUCGCUUCGGGAGGGCCUCGCGGCCUAUCAGCUAGUUGGCGGGGGUAACGGCCCACCAAGGCAUCGACGGGUAGCUGGUCUGAGAGGACGAUCAGCCACACUGGGACUGAGACACGGCCCAGACUCCUACGGGAGGCAGCAGUGGGGAAUCUUGCGCAAUGGGCCGAAAGCCUGACGCAGCAACGCCGCGUGGGGGACGAAGGCUCUCGGGUUGUAAACCCCUUUCAGGAGGGACGAAAUUGACGGUACCUCCAGAAGAAGCCCCGGCCAACUACGUGCCAGCAGCCGCGGUAAU
This 489-nucleotide ribosomal RNA is filed under the name uncultured bacterium. Its description in RNAcentral is "bacterial SSU rRNA". It matches the Rfam family "Bacterial small subunit ribosomal RNA", at positions 28 to 524 of the family's 1533-position model. The record is from RNAcentral.